GACGAACGCUGGCGGCGUGCUUAACACAUGCAAGUCGAACGGGUCUGCCCUGUUUUUUGCGGGGUGGGUCAGUGGCGAACGGGUGAGUAACACGUGAGUAACCUGCCCCUCACUUCUGGAUAACCGCUUGAAAGGGUGGCUAAUACGGGGUGUUCUGGCUGUGCCGCAUGGUGUGGCUGGGAAGGAUUCACUUUUGUGGUGUUUUGGUGGGGGAUGGGCUCGCGGCCUAUCAGCUUGUUGGUGGGGUGAUGGCCUGCCAAGGCUUUGACGGGUAGCCGGCCUGAGAGGGUGGGCGGUCACACUGGGACUGAGAUACGGCCCAGACUCCUGCGGGAGGCAGCAGUGGGGGGUAUUGCACAAUGGGCGGAAGCCUGAUGCAGCGACGUCGCGUGAGGGAUGGAGGCCUUCGGGUUGUGAACCUCUUUCGCCGGUGAAGGAGGUCCUGCUCUUUGUGGUGGGGUUGACGGUAGCCGGGUUAUGAAGCGCCGGCUAACUACGUG
Molecule: ribosomal RNA, 500 nt
Filed under: uncultured bacterium
Lineage: Bacteria
Description: partial 16S ribosomal RNA
Rfam family: Bacterial small subunit ribosomal RNA
Source: RNAcentral